CCUUUUUCCCCAACAAUCAUCAAACCAAACUAAAGGAAACCAACUUUUUAUUUUUAUCACUCUUUGUCUCUUGUAAAAACCCAUCGGAGUGUUAUGUCUCCGACGAUUGUUCAGUUAACCGAUUACCAUAUCGACCAAUCAACAGACGCUACAACAAAUCUCUGGUCAACUGAAGACGAUGCGUCAGUGAUGGAAGCUUUCAUCGGCGGCUCUGAUCAUUCUUCUCUGUUUCCUCCACUUCCUCCUCCUCCUCUUGCUCCUCCGGCCCUUUCUCAGGUCAACGAAGAUACUCUACAACAACGACUCCAAGCUUUAAUCGAAGGAGCAAACGAGAGCUGGACUUACGCUGUGUUCUGGCAAUUAUCUUACGAUUUCGCCGGAGAAGACGUCGAAGAAGGAGGAGUAGGAGGAGGAGGACUAACCAACAACAACACGGCGUUGUUAGGUUGGGGAGAUGGUUAUUACAAAGGAGAAGAAGAGAAAUCUAGGAAGAAGAAAACGAAACCAGCUAGUGCAGCUGAGCAAGAGCAUCGUAAGAGAGUGGUUAGAGAGCUCAACGCUUUGAUCUCCGGAGGAGGAGGAGAAGUAGUUAACAAUGGCGGCUCUGAUGAAGCAGGAGAUGAAGAAGUUACAGAUACUGAAUGGUUCUUCUUGGUUUCGAUGACACAGAGCUUUAUCAACGGUACUGGUUUACCUGGUCAAGCGUUCUCGAGUUCGAACACAAUUUGGCUAUCUGGAUCUAACGCGUUAGCUGGAUCGAGUUGUGAGAGAGCUCGUCAAGGUCAGAUUUAUGGGUUACAGACAAUGGUGUGUGUACCAUGUGAGAACGGCGUCGUUGAGCUUGGUUCGUCUGAGAUUAUACAUCAAAGCUCAGAUCUUGUUGAUAAAGUUGACACCUUUUUCAACUUUAACAAUGGCGGUGGUGGUGGUUGUGAAUCUGGUUCUUGGGCGUUUAAUUUGAAUCCAGAUCAAGGAGAGAAUGAUCCGCGUUUGUGGAUUAGUGAACCUGGAGUUGAAUUGGGUCUUGUAGCUCCUGUGAUCAUCAAUACUGGUAACAACUCAACGUCUAACUCUGAUUCUCAACCAAUUUCGAAGCUUUGCAAUGGUGGAAGCUCUGUUGAAAACCCUAAACCUCAAGUUACGAAAUCAUGUGAGAUGGUGAGUGUCAAGAACGGGGUUGAGAAUGGCUUCUCCUCUGGUCAAAGCCGGUUUAUGGGAGAAGAUAGUAGUAACAAGAAGAGGUCUCCGGUUUCGAAUAACGAAGAAGGAAUGCUUUCAUUCACCUCUGUUUCUGUUCUACCACGUCCUGCGAAAUCAGGGGACUCGAAUCACUCUGAUCUUGAAGCUUCGGUGGUUAAAGAAGCUGAGAGUAACAGAACUGUGGUCGAACCGGAGAAGAAACCGAGGAAACGAGGGAGGAAACCGGCUAAUGGAAGAGAAGAGCCUUUGAAUCAUGUUGAGGCAGAGAGACAGAGAAGAGAGAAGCUGAAUCAGAGAUUCUACUCUUUAAGAGCUGUGGUUCCUAAUGUCUCUAAGAUGGAUAAAGCUUCUCUCUUAGGAGAUGCUAUUUCGUAUAUCAAUGAGCUUAAGUCUAAGCUGCUGAAGGCUGAGUCUGAUAAAGAAGAGUUGCAAAAGCAGAUUGAUGGGAUGAGUAAAGAGGCGGCAAAUGGGAAAAGUUCGGUUAAAGAACGGAAUCAAGAACCGGGUGUGUCGGUUGAGAUGGAGGUUGAUGUGAAGAUCAUUGGUUGGGAUGCGAUGAUAAGGGUUCAAUGCAGUAAGAGGAAUCAUCCUGGUGCUAAGUUCAUGGAAGCACUCAAGGAACUUGAUUUGGAAGUGAAUCACGCGAGUUUAUCAGUAGUGAAUGAUCUUAUGAUCCAACAAGCGACUGUGAAAAUGGGGAAUGAGUUCUUUACGCAAGAUCAGCUUAAGGUUGCUCUAAUGGAGAAAGUCGGAGAAUGCUCAUGAAUAGCAUCUUAAGAAGUGUUCUCUUUGUGAUUGUAGUGUGCAACUAUAUUAUGUAAGGGUUUGUGUUCAUCUCAGCCACAUAAGGACAAGUCUAUGGGAAUAGUUUGGCACCAAACGAGGCAUCUAAUUUGUUAGGUAAGAAUAUACCCCUUUCUUGUUCAAUAAAGAUUAUUUACACCAAUCACAUCCAUCAAGAGAUUCCAAUGUAGGGCAUUGGGACCUCAAGAUUAAUGUGGAUGUAACACGAUCAUUAUUGUUCUAAAUAGUAUUUUGAACACGAUGUACACGUAAGACUUUCAAAAAUAUGGAGUCAUAUAUA
Non-coding RNA from Camelina sativa (false flax), 2284 nucleotides. The record is from RefSeq and is a predicted model, not a curated record. Lineage: Eukaryota; Viridiplantae; Streptophyta; Magnoliopsida; Brassicales; Brassicaceae.